Molecule: ribosomal RNA, 261 nt
Filed under: uncultured bacterium
Lineage: Bacteria
Description: partial 16S ribosomal RNA
Rfam family: Bacterial small subunit ribosomal RNA
Source: RNAcentral
UACGUAGGGCGCAAGCGUUGUCCGGAAUUAUUGGGCGUAAAGAGCUCGUAGGCGGUUUGUCGCGUCUGCCGUGAAAAGUCCGGGGGCUCAACUCCGGAUCUGCAGUGGGUACGGGCAGACUAGAGUGCGGUAGGGGGAGACUGGAAUUCCUGGUGUAGCGGUGAAAUGCGCAGAUAUCAGGAGGAACACCGGUGGCGAAGGCGGGGUCUCUGGGGCCCGUAACUGACGCUGAGGAGCGAAAAGCAUGGGGGAGCGAACAGG